AGCAGUAGCCGCGGUAAUACGUAGGUGGCAAGCGUUGUCCGGAAUUAUUGGGCGUAAAGGGCUCGCAGGCGGUUAGAUAAGUCUGAAGUUAAAGGCUGUGGCUUAACCAUAGUACGCUUUGGAAACUGUUUAACUUGAGUGCAAGAGGGGAGAGUGGAAUUCCAUGUGUAGCGGUGAAAUGCGUAGAUAUAUGGAGGAACACCGGUGGCGAAAGCGGCUCUCUGGCUUGUAACUGACGCUGAGGCUCGAAAGCGUGGGGAGCAAACAGGAUUAGAUACCCGGGUAGUCCCUGUCUCUUAUACA
This 303-nucleotide ribosomal RNA is filed under the name uncultured bacterium. Its description in RNAcentral is "partial 16S ribosomal RNA". It matches the Rfam family "Bacterial small subunit ribosomal RNA", at positions 507 to 808 of the family's 1533-position model. The record is from RNAcentral.